CUUCCGAUAGCUCAAGUGGUAGAGCGCUGGGUGCCCAUAUUUUGUUUUAGAACGUGUCGUCGUUAUUGACGCAUAGCCCAGAGAUGCUGGUUCGAGUCUGGCUCGGAGGU
Molecule: non-coding RNA, 110 nt
Organism: Stereum hirsutum FP-91666 SS1
Lineage: Eukaryota; Fungi; Basidiomycota; Agaricomycetes; Russulales; Stereaceae
Source: the annotation of a RefSeq genome assembly